GACGAACGCUGGCGGCGUGCCUAAUACAUGCAAGUAGAACGCUGAAGAGAGGAGCUUGCUCUUCUUGGACGAGUUGCGAACGGGUGAGUAACGCGUAAGUAACCUGCCUUGUAGCGGGGGAUAACUAUUUGAGACGAUAGCUAAUACCGCAUAACAAUGGAUGACCCAUGUCAUUUAGUUGAAAGGUGCAACUGCUCCACUAGAAGAUGGACCUGCGUUGUAUUAGCUAGUAGGUGAGGUAACGGCUCAACUAGGCGACGGUACAUAGCCGACCUGAGAGGGUGAUCGGCCACACUGGGACUGAGACGCGGCCCAGACUCCUACGGGAGGCAGCAGUAGGGAAUCUUCGGCAAUGGGGGCAACCCUGACCGAGCAACGCCGCGUGAGUGAAGAAGGUUUUCGGAUCGUAAAGCUCUGUUGUAAGUCAAGAACGAGUGUGAGAGUGGAAAGUUCACACUGUGACGGUAGCUUACCAGAAAGGGACGGCUAACUACGUGCCAGCAGCCGCGGUAA
RNAcentral lists this ribosomal RNA (513 nucleotides) under uncultured bacterium. Its description in RNAcentral is "partial 16S ribosomal RNA". It matches the Rfam family "Bacterial small subunit ribosomal RNA", at positions 28 to 523 of the family's 1533-position model. The record is from RNAcentral.